GACGGAGGCCAGCGCGGGGAGCGGAAGCCGGAGCCUGUCGGGAGCGACCCCGGGAAGGCCAGUCCCUCCUGCCGGUGGGAGGCGUGUUGGCGUGCGGCCGGUGGCGGGAUCGAUGGCCACCUGGUAGGCGAUGCUGCUGCGGCGGAGAGACGGAGGCCAGCGCGGGGAGCGGAAGCCGGAGCCUGUCGGGAGCGACCCCGGGAAGGCCAGUCCCUCCUGCCGGUGGGAGGCGUGUUGGCGUGCGGCCGGUGGCGGGAUCGAUGGCCACCUGGUAGGCGAUGGUAAGCGGCAGUGGCCUGCGCCAAGGUAGCCCCCGGGGGCGGU
This 324-nucleotide long non-coding RNA is filed under the name Sus scrofa (pig). RNAcentral's name for it is "lncRNA (ENSSSCG00070003110.1)". Lineage: Eukaryota; Metazoa; Chordata; Mammalia; Artiodactyla; Suidae. The record is from RNAcentral.